CUUUUGCUCUCCACAAUUCAACCCUCUAUUUUCCUGUUUGAAAAAGAUGUGCUUAUGUCAUUAUGUUUGUUGAACUGUACAGGAUAACAACAGUGGAGUGACUUGCAGGUGCCUCAUGUGGAUUUUUGUUCAGUAAGAUCGACCUGAUGCCUCAUAUUUUAAUUUGGACAAUGGGACUUGGUUUUAUGUAUUUAGUGGUUCUACAAAUGGUUCUGCUAUGGUUGAUAUCACAAUUCUUCUAAUGUGUAGGUAAUUUUAACACCCUCUACUAUUUUAUUGGUGUUCAGUUCUGUAAUACCCAUUGGCGUUGGCUAGCAAAUAUUAUUAGUUUAUAUGAGCAUGUUCAUUUAUACUGAUGUAACAGAUUUGAAAGGAUUGGAGUUCUUUGGAAAAAUCAACUUAAAUGGUGACUCCACAUAUUUUCACAAGGAGGUUAUUACAUGCAAAAAAAGUUCCUCUUAGAGCAUUGCCUUCAGUUUCCCCCCUUCUACCAUAUAGUACGUAGUACUGAUUAUAUGUGUCAUCUCGAUAUUAAUUUAGUUGUGACUUUUGCGUAUGCCUUGAGAGUUUUGUAUUUGCUUCUCAAUUGGUUUCGUUUAGUUACAACAGUAUGCCAAAUAAUCCAAAAAUAAUUAAUUAAAUCAUUGGACCGGCCGGAUAUAAAGAGCAUGAUUUAUACCAUCAAAUGAACAUAUAUUUUUAUAUGAAAUGAAGGAUCUUAAAUCUGUGGGUGCAUGCACUGCUUCCUGCCUUGAUCUCAAGUGCUGGCUCCUACAACAUUGCAUUUCACCAAGUGAAAUGCUGCAUUUCUACUCCUUACCCAUUCUCUCUUUCUUAGUGUUUUUGUUAUGCGGGUUGGAAGAAAAGAAGAAGAUCGAGAGAAGAUCUUAGUAAUAAGAUAGUUUUGACUUUGUAAAACUUGCUACAUGUCGAUGAAACUGUGUAAUAUAGAUGAAACUAUGUAUAUGUAUGGAUGAAACUUGCUACUAUUGGUAACAUGUGUUGGAUAUGUGUUGGAUAUAUAUGUGUUCAUGGCUAUUGGUAAUAUGUGUUGUAUAUAUAUAUAUGUUUGAUUUUAUGUGAAAAUGAAUUGAUAUAAGAAAAAACAGAAUUAAAUGGGGCAA
This 1124-nucleotide long non-coding RNA is filed under the name Triticum aestivum (bread wheat). RNAcentral's name for it is "long non-coding RNA (TAES_LNC022202)". The record is from RNAcentral. Lineage: Eukaryota; Viridiplantae; Streptophyta; Magnoliopsida; Poales; Poaceae.